UACGGAGGGUGCGAGCGUUGUUCGGAAUCACUGGGCGUAAAGCGCGUGUAGGCGGCCCACUAAGUCUGAUGUGAAAGCCCGGGGCUCACCCCCGGAAGUGCAUUGGAAACUGGUGGACUCGAGUCCCGGAGAGGAGAGUGGAAUUCCUGGUGUAGCGGUGAAAUGCGUAGAUAUCAGGAGGAACACCGGUGGCGAAGGCGGCUCUCUGGACGGUGACUGACGCUGAGACGCGAAAGCGUGAGGAGCAAACAGG
RNAcentral lists this ribosomal RNA (253 nucleotides) under uncultured bacterium. RNAcentral describes it as "partial 16S ribosomal RNA". It matches the Rfam family "Bacterial small subunit ribosomal RNA", at positions 524 to 776 of the family's 1533-position model. The record is from RNAcentral.